Molecule: ribosomal RNA, 478 nt
Filed under: uncultured bacterium
Lineage: Bacteria
Description: partial 16S ribosomal RNA
Rfam family: Bacterial small subunit ribosomal RNA
Source: RNAcentral
AACAAACGCUGGCGGCGUGCCUAAUACAUGCAAGUCGAACGGGGAAAGCUUUCGGGUGAGUACUAGUGGCGCACGGGUGAGUAACGCGUGGAUAAUCUGCCCUCGAAUGGGGAAUAACUAGUCGAAAGAUUAGCUAAUACCGCAUAAGACCACGACUACUGAGGUAGUUGGGGUCAAAGGAGCAAUUCGUUUGAGGAUGAGUCCGCGUAAGAUUAGCUAGUUGGUGAGGUAAUGGCUCACCAAGGCGAUGAUCUUUAACUGGUCUGAGAGGAUGAUCAGUCACAAUGGAACUGAGACACGGUCCAGACUCCUACGGGAGGCAGCAGUAGGGAAUAUUGGACAAUGGGGGCAACCCUGAUCCAGCGACGCCGCGUGAGCGAUGAAGGCCUUCGGGUCGUAAAGCUCUGUUGUAAGGGAAAAAGUUCUGAUGUACCUUACGAGAAAGGAUCGGCUAACUUCGUGCCAGCCGCCGCGGUAA